Molecule: ribosomal RNA, 1933 nt
Filed under: Saccamoeba sp. POHL
Lineage: Eukaryota; Tubulinea; Elardia; Euamoebida; Hartmannellidae
Description: SSU rRNA
Rfam family: Eukaryotic small subunit ribosomal RNA
Source: RNAcentral
CAAUCAUAUGCUUGUUUAAAAGAUUAAGCCAUGCAUGUCUAAGUAUAAGCCGCACGAUCGGCGAAACUGCGAAUGGCUCAUUAUAUCAGCUACAAUCUACUCGAUUUAUAAAGUUACACGGAUAACUGUAGGAAUUCUAGAGCUAAUACGUGCGAAAGGGCUGGACCGGGUUCGCGCCUGGGAAGGCCGUAGUUGCAAGGUGAGAAACCAGUUCGGGGUACUCCAAACUUAGGGAAACCUAGGGCUCCGAUCCUGGAAGACGAAUCAUUGCAAAGCGUUGCGAAUCGGGGGCUUCGAGCUUCCGAUGAUGCGAACGAGUAUCUGCCCUAUCAACUUUCAAUCGUAGUGUAGGGGACUACGAUGGUGAUAACGGGUACGGGGAAUUAGGGUUCGAUUCCGGAGAGUUAGCCUUAAAAAUGGCUAACAUUACCAAGGUAAGCAGCAGGCGCGUAAAUUAUCCAAUCCCGAUUCGGGGAGAUAGUGACAAGAAAUAUCGGUGUGGGGCCUUAUGGGCUUCACGAUCGAAAUGAGUACAAUUUAAAAACCUUAACGAGGAACAAUUGGAGGGCAAGUCUGGUGCCAGCAGCCGCGGUAAUUCCAGCUCCAAGAGCGUAUAUUAAAGUUGUUGCGGUUAAAAAGCUCGUAGUUGAACCGAGGGGGCGGAGCGCGGUUAAAAGCUUCGGGGUCUCGGCUUCGCGUCGGGGCCUCGCGGUCGCGGGUUCGCCUUCGAAUUUGCAAUGAACUACCGGCUCGGGGGGGGUCGUCUUUCGGGAGGUAAAACUCCCUUUGGGCGGUCUUCCUCUUGUCGGAUUGCAGAGUUUUACUUUGAAUAAAUUAGGGUGUUCAAAGCAGACGAAUACGUCUUGAAUAGAUUAGCAUGGGAUAAUGAAAUAAGACCGAAUUCGGCUUACUAUUUGCUGGUUUCUGAGGCCGAGGUAAUGAUUAAUAGGGACGGUCGGGGUCGCUCGUACUCGGUGGUGAGAGGUGAAAUUCUAAGACCCAUCGAAGACGAACAAGUGCGAAGGCAUUCGACAAGGAUGUUUUCUUUAAUCAAGAACGAAAGUUAUGGGAUCGAAGAUGAUCAGAUACCGUCGUAGUCAUAACCGUAAACUAUGUUGACUCGGGAUCGGGGGAUGUUACAUGGAUGACUCUCCCGGCACCGUGUGCGAAAGCACAAGUAUUCGAACUCCGGGGGGAGUAUGGUCGCAAGGCUGAAACUUAAAGGAAUUGACGGAAGGGCACCACCAGGUGUGGAAUCUGCGGCUUAAUUUGACUCAACACGGGGAAACUUACCCAGUCCGGACGCGAUGAGGAUUGACAGAUUGAUAGUUCUUUCUUGAUUUUGUGGAAGCCGGUGCAUGGCCGUUUUUAGUUGGUGGAGCGAUUUGUCUGGUUAAGUCCGAUAACGAACGAGACCUAAAUUUAUUAAAUAGUGGUGCGAACAAGGGGGCUUUCGCGGCGGGUUCGGGUUCUCCCGGGCUCGUCGGGGCCUCCGCAAAUUUGUUCGUAGCUUCCGACGUACUUCUUAGAGAGACACUUGGUCGAUAACAGCAGCCAAUGGAAGUUUUAGGCAAAAACAGGUCUGUGAUGCCGCUAGAUGUCUGGGGCUGCACGCGCGUUACACUGACGUGUUCAACGAGUAUUUAAGAACGACCUGGCCCGAAGGGGUUUGGGCAAUCUGAAAAUGCACGUCGUGAUGGGGAUUGUGCUUUGUAACUAUCGCACAUGAACGAGGAAUACCUAGUAAGGGCAGGUCAUCAACCUGUCCUGAUUACGUCCCUGCCCUUUGUACACACCGCCCGUCGCUUCUACCGAUUGAAUUACUCGAUGAGGACUCGGGAGGUGGGGCUUGAUCCGGUUCCGCCGGUGAUGCUCUGCCGAACCUGUUCGAAUCUCGUAGUUUAGAGGAAGAAGAAGUCGUAACAAGGUCUCU